AAGAUGAUUUUUUUCUCCAAUCGAUAAUAUCAAUUCGAAAUUUGGUUACCGCAAUAUCUACAAAACAUGUUGUCGAUUGUUGCUGCUGCAGUCAUUGCAAUAAGUGGAACUAUUGUGCUUUGUGUAGACGAAUGCCGCUUUGUGCUUGCAUUAAGCUUCCUAGUUCUAUGCUGCGCGUUCGUCAUUGCUGGGAAAAGUUGCUGCCUCACCGAAAUACCGACACUAUACAGGCAGAGAAUAGUGUGCGUCUUAGGCAUGGCCUUCGUCUGCUUUCAAUUGUGCAUUGCCGCAUUUCGAGUCAGGAAGUACCGUGACGAUAAAAACAAUUUUCCAUUGGCAGCAUCGACAUCCAUAAUUUAUCUGGCAGCUCAGAUAACGUUAAUUUGCGCUCUACAUUGUGCAAGAAACACUCUGAAGAUAUUGACCGAAGAAAGUCCUCAGUAGAAUCAUUAGAAAACCCAUCAACAGUUUGGGUUCAAUGGUGUUGAAGUGGUGUGUACUGAGUCGCAAUUACAAAAAUGUUUGUGCGAUGUGAAUGGCUUGAAUCUGAAUUGAAUAUGAGAAUAGAUUCGAUGGA
Long non-coding RNA from Bradysia coprophila, 577 nucleotides. NCBI's taxonomy places the organism in Eukaryota, Metazoa, Arthropoda, Insecta, Diptera, Sciaridae. The record is from RefSeq and is a predicted model, not a curated record.